CCCUGGCUGGCUCAGAGCGUGUGCAUGCGCUUUGGGCUAGUUAAAUCCUCCAAUCAAAGGCUUCUCAGUGAGGCUUUUGAGAAGCCUUUGAUUGAAGGAUUUAACUAGCUCAAAGCGCAUGGACACGCUUUGAGCCAGGAAG
Molecule: non-coding RNA, 142 nt
Organism: Pelobates cultripes (western spadefoot toad)
Lineage: Eukaryota; Metazoa; Chordata; Amphibia; Anura; Pelobatidae
Source: the annotation of a GenBank genome assembly